AACCGCCCAGCGCAAGCGAGCGCAGGCGGUUUUGUAAGUCUGCUGUGAAAGCCCUCAGCUCAACAGAGGAAGUGCAGUGGAAACUACAAAACUUGAGUACAGAAGAGGAAAGUGGAACUCCAUGUGUAGCGGUGAAAUGCGUAGAUAUAUGGAAGAACACCAGUGGCGAAGGCGGCUUUCUGGUCUGUUACUGACGCUGAGGCUCGAAAGCAUGGGUAGCGAACAGGAUUAGAUACCCUGGUAGGCGCCCAAACCAUCCAUGCCGUAAACGAUGAAUACUAGGUGUUGGAGGGUUUCCGCCCUUCAGUGCCGCAGCUAACGCAUUAAGUGCGCCACACACAUUCCGCCUGGGGAGUACGACCGCAAGGUUGAAACUCAAAGGAAUUGACGGGGGCCCGCACAAGUGGUGGAGCAUGUGGUUUAAUUCGAUGCUACGCGAAGAACCUUACCAGCUCUUGACAUCUUCUGCCAACCCAAGAGAUUGGGCGUUCCCUUCGGGGACAGAAUGACAGGUGGUGCAUGGUUGUCGUCAGCUCGUGUCGUGAGAUGUUGGGUUAAGUCCCGCAACGAGCGCAACCCUUAUUAUUAGUUGCCAGCAUUUAGUUGGGCACUCUAGUGAGACUGCCGGUGAUAAACCGGAGGAAGGUGGGGACGACGUCAAAUCAUCAUACACAGCGCCCAAGGCACAGCGCGCCCAA
This 698-nucleotide ribosomal RNA is filed under the name Apilactobacillus kunkeei. Its description in RNAcentral is "bacterial SSU rRNA". It matches the Rfam family "Bacterial small subunit ribosomal RNA", at positions 547 to 1230 of the family's 1533-position model. Lineage: Bacteria; Bacillati; Bacillota; Bacilli; Lactobacillales; Lactobacillaceae. The record is from RNAcentral.